UACAGAGGGUGCAAGCGUUAAUCGGAUUUACUGGGCGUAAAGGGUGCGUAGGCGGAUAAUUAAGUUAGUUGUGAAAGACCUGGGCUAAACCGAGGAACUGCAAUUAAAACUGGUUAUCUAGAGUGUGGUAGAGGGAAGUGGAAUUUCUAGUGUAGCGGUGAAAUGCGUAGAUAUUAGAAAGAACAUCGAUGGCGAAGGCAGCUUCCUGGACUAACACUGACGCUGAGGCACGAAAGCAUGGGUAGCGAACAGG
This 253-nucleotide ribosomal RNA is filed under the name uncultured bacterium. Its description in RNAcentral is "partial 16S ribosomal RNA". It matches the Rfam family "Bacterial small subunit ribosomal RNA", at positions 524 to 776 of the family's 1533-position model. The record is from RNAcentral.